GGGUCAGUAGGUUGGUCGUGCCACCGGUACGUACUGGUCUCACUGAUUCCUCCUUCCUGAAGAACCGUAAUGCCAUUAAUUUGGUGUUGCGGGGAAACAGGACUGUUACUUUGAAAAAAUUAGAGUGUUUAAAGCAAGCCAGCGCUUGAAUACAUUAGCAUGGGAUAAUGAAAUAGGACGAUCGAUCCUAUUUUGUUGGUUUCUAGGAUUGACGUA
This 216-nucleotide ribosomal RNA is filed under the name Glomeromycotina sp. RNAcentral describes it as "partial small subunit ribosomal RNA". The stretch from base 40 to 216 matches the Rfam family "Eukaryotic small subunit ribosomal RNA", at positions 686 to 864 of the family's 1831-position model. Lineage: Eukaryota; Fungi; Glomeromycota. The record is from RNAcentral.